Molecule: unclassified non-coding RNA, 383 nt
Filed under: uncultured bacterium
Lineage: Bacteria
Description: contains 16S-23S intergenic spacer region
Source: RNAcentral
UCCGAGUUGACCCCGGCGGUCUCCUGUGAGUCCCCAUCACCCCGAAGGGCAUGCUGGCAACACAGGACAAGGGUUGCGCUCGUUGCGGGACUUAACCCAACAUCUCACGACACGAGCUGACGACAGCCAUGCACCACCUGUCACCCAGUCCGAAGAGGCUCCCAUCUCUGAGGGUUUCUGGGUGAUGUCAAACCCAGGUAAGGUUCUUCGCGUUGCAUCGAAUUAAACCACAUACUCCACCGCUUGUGCGGGCCCCCGUCAAUUCCUUUGAGUUUCAGUCUUGCGACCGUACUUCCCAGGCGGCGAACUUAACGCGUUAGCUUCGAUACUGAAGGCUCAAUUGCCCCCAACAUCCAGUUCGCAUCGUUUAGGGCGUGGACUAC